RNAcentral lists this ribosomal RNA (445 nucleotides) under uncultured bacterium. RNAcentral describes it as "partial 16S ribosomal RNA". It matches the Rfam family "Bacterial small subunit ribosomal RNA", at positions 29 to 507 of the family's 1533-position model. The record is from RNAcentral.
AACGAACGCUGGCGGCAGGCUUAACACAUGCAAGUCGAACGAGCUGGGGGCUUCGGUCCCCGAGGCUAGUGGCGCACGGGUGAGUAACACGUGGGAAUAUGCCCUUUAGUACGGAAUAAACAAGGGAAACUUUGGCUAAUACCGUAUACGCCCUUCGGGGGAAAGAUUUAUCGCUAAAGGAUUAGCCCGCGUCUGGUUAGGUAGUUGGUGAGGUAAUGGCUCACCAAGCCGACGAUCAGUAGCUGGUCUGAGAGGAUGAUCAGCCACACUGGGACUGAGACACGGCCCAGAAUCCUACGCGAGGCAGCAGUGGGGAAUAUUGGACAAUGGGGGCAACCAUGAUCCAGCCAUGCCGCGUGAGUGAAGAAGGCCUUCGGGUUGUAAAGCUCUUUCGACGGGGACGAUGAUGACGGUACCCGUAUAAGAAGCCCCGGCAAACUUCGUG